This 205-nucleotide long non-coding RNA is filed under the name Elaeis guineensis (African oil palm). Its description in RNAcentral is "long non-coding RNA (EGUI_LNC060466)". The record is from RNAcentral. Lineage: Eukaryota; Viridiplantae; Streptophyta; Magnoliopsida; Arecales; Arecaceae.
UGCCAAACUUAUCUUAGACAUAAUUGGUUAAUUAGUUUUGAUUUGACCAACCUAAUGAUUCGGAUUAAACCACUAAGCCAUAAUCAAGAUCCAUUUGGUUUAAUCAAAGAUAUGGACUUGACCAUCUACAACUAUUGUAUUAGAGAAAUCUUGAUUAAUCUAAUUCAAUAUUUGGUUGAACUUAAUCAAUUUCUUUAUAUGGUCA